GCCGAGAUAGCUCAGUCGGCAGAGCGCAUCCAUGGUAAGGAUGAGGUCCCGGGUUCGAAUCCCGGUCUCGGCUCCA
RNAcentral lists this transfer RNA (76 nucleotides) under bacterium. RNAcentral describes it as "tRNA-Thr". It matches the Rfam family "tRNA". Rfam says of the family: Transfer RNA (tRNA) molecules are approximately 80 nucleotides in length. Their secondary structure includes four short double-helical elements and three loops (D, anti-codon, and T loops). RNAcentral also lists the same sequence under 1 other name. The record is from RNAcentral.